AUUGAACGCUGGCGGCAGGCUUAACACAUGCAAGUCGAGCGGAGACUUCGGUCUUAGCGGCGAACGGGUGAGUAAUACCUAGGAAUCUGCCUAUUAGUGGGGGAUAACGAAUCGAAAGGUUCGCUAAUACCGCAUACGUCCUACGGGAGAAAGGGGGGAGUCUUCGGACCUCUCGCUAAUAGAUGAGCCUAGGCCGGAUUAGCUAGUUGGUAGGGUAAAGGGCCUACCAAGGCGACGAUCUGUAGCUGGUCUGAGAGGAUGGCCAGCCACACUGGAACUGAGACACGGUCCAGACUCCUACGGGAGGCAGCAGUGGGGAAGUAUUGGACAAUGGGGGCGAACCCUGAUCCAGCCAUGCCGCGUGUGUGAAGAAGGCCUCGGUUGGUAAG
RNAcentral lists this ribosomal RNA (389 nucleotides) under uncultured bacterium. RNAcentral describes it as "bacterial SSU rRNA". It matches the Rfam family "Bacterial small subunit ribosomal RNA", at positions 30 to 430 of the family's 1533-position model. The record is from RNAcentral.